GGUCCAAUGGUGCAGUGGUAGCACGUUCCUUAAGUACUCGGUUGAGACGUGGGUUCGACGCCCACCUUGUCCCUUCGGGGGCAUGUGGCAGGGUGGCUAAUGUGGCUGACUUAUAAUGGAAAGACCUACGUUCAAAUCGUAGUUGGGCCA
Molecule: non-coding RNA, 150 nt
Organism: Pseudocercospora fijiensis CIRAD86
Lineage: Eukaryota; Fungi; Ascomycota; Dothideomycetes; Mycosphaerellales; Mycosphaerellaceae
Source: the annotation of a RefSeq genome assembly